Long non-coding RNA from Lagopus leucura (white-tailed ptarmigan), 299 nucleotides. RefSeq lists it as uncharacterized. The record is from RefSeq and is a predicted model, not a curated record. The transcript is spliced from 3 exons. Lineage: Eukaryota; Metazoa; Chordata; Aves; Galliformes; Phasianidae.
GAGCCUGGCUGCACCUCUCUUAGACCUUAUUUAAGGGCUGACUGCCAGCGGGGAAAGAUCUUUUUCUGCAGAUCCCUUCUUGGUGAAGCUUUCCCCUGUGAAUCUGGAAUCUUCUGUUGUAGGCUCAGCGGAUAAUGGGGACGGCUCUUUCCUAGGGCUUUCCUGUGAGCUCUGCUUCAAGGGCAAGGGAAAAUCAGCCUCUUCACUGACUGGAUGCUGAUGGAAACAGAUGAGAGAGCCACACGCACAUGGGAGGAAUUCAUGAGGAUCAGUGACAUGGCAAUGAAUACUAAAUGCAG